Molecule: ribosomal RNA, 231 nt
Filed under: uncultured bacterium
Lineage: Bacteria
Description: partial 16S ribosomal RNA
Rfam family: Bacterial small subunit ribosomal RNA
Source: RNAcentral
GAUCAUGGCUCAGGAUGAACGCUGGCGGCGUGCUUAACACAUGCAAGUCGAACGAAGUGUUUAUUCAAAGUUCUUCGGGAUAGAGAAUAAAUUACUUAGUGGCGGACGGGUGAGUAACGCGUGGGUAACCUGCCUCACACAGGGGGAUAACAGUUGGAAACGACUGCUAAUACCGCAUAAGACCACAGCACCGCAUGGUGCAGGGGUAAAAGAUUUAUCGGUGUGAGAUGG